GAUGAACGCUGGCGGCGUGCCUAAUACAUGCAAGUCGAGCGAACGGACGAGAAGCUUGCUUCUCUGAUGUUAGCGGCGGACGGGUGAGUAACACGUGGAUAACCUACCUAUAAGACUGGGAUAACUUCGGGAAACCGGAGCUAAUACCGGAUAAUAUUUUGAACCGCAUGGUUCAAAAGUGAAAGACGGUCUUGCUGUCACUUAUAGAUGGAUCCGCGCUGCAUUAGCUGGUUGGUAAGGUAACGGCUUACCAAGGCAACGAUGCAUAGCCGACCUGAGAGGGUGAUCGGCCACACUGGAACUGAGACACGGUCCAGACUCCUACGGGAGGCAGCAGUAGGGAAUCUUCCGCAAUGGGCGAAAGCCUGACGGAGCAACGCCGCGUGAGUGAUGAAGGUCUUCGGAUCGUAAAACUCUGUUAUUAGGGAAAAACAUAUGUGUAAGUAACUGUGCACAUCUUGACGGUACCCAAUCAGAAAGCCACGGCUAACUACGUG
This 497-nucleotide ribosomal RNA is filed under the name uncultured bacterium. RNAcentral describes it as "partial 16S ribosomal RNA". It matches the Rfam family "Bacterial small subunit ribosomal RNA", at positions 28 to 507 of the family's 1533-position model. The record is from RNAcentral.